RNA transcript from Lemur catta (Ring-tailed lemur), 1370 nucleotides. It is a transcript of the gene named chromosome 6 C12orf73 homolog, with no coding region annotated. The transcript is spliced from 3 exons. The record is from RefSeq and is a predicted model, not a curated record. NCBI's taxonomy places the organism in Eukaryota, Metazoa, Chordata, Mammalia, Primates, Lemuridae.
CCUGCGCCGGCGUCCCUCCGCUUUCCAGUCCGGCUCGGCCCCGGCUCCUGUACUUUCCGUCCGACCCUCUCGCGGUCUGCUCCGGCUCCUGAACGCACUUCCGCCCGCCCUCUGACCCGCAGUCCGCGCCUGUGCACCUCGCGGUACAGUGGCUCUCCGGGGGCGUCUAGCAGGGGCUGGGGGUAGUGCCUUCCGCAGUUCCUCUCCUAGAGAUUGGAGAGGCGCGGGGGGACCAGCGAUGUCGGCCUUCCGCUUGCUCAGCAAGAGCUGCUCAGGUCCCCGCCACUGACGGAUGAUUGAAGGCUGGGCAUCAGCCUGGUAGGGGAGUUCGUCCCCUCAGUGUCCUCAUGCCUUAAAGGAGGAAGCCGAGGCGCGGGGAUGGGGAAGAACCCAGCUGUUCUGGACUCCGCCCCCUCGCUGCUGUGGGGCUUGUUGCCAGUGCUGCCUGGAGCCCCUCAACCGCGGGCUGAGCUUCGUCGUGAGCGGAGAACCUUCUCACGCUGCCCUUUCCCUCCCCGUCCAGCCCGCCGACCAUGCCCGCGGGCGUGCCCUUGGCCACCUACCUGAAAAUGUUCGCAGCCAGCCUCCUAGCCAUGUGCGCGGGGGCCGAAGUGGUGCACAGGUACUACCGGCCGGACCUGACAAUACCUGAAAUUCCACCGAAGCCUGGAGAACUCAAAACAGAGCUUUUGGGACUGAAAGAGAGACAACAUGAACCUCAAAUUUCUCAGCAGUAGACACUUAAAUACAACUAUGCCAAGAAUUCUGUGAAUAAUAUUAUAUCUCAAGUACAGAGUAAAUGGUCUGGCUACUGACAAUCAUGAUUUGAACCCAUCGCCUACAAGACAAUGACUUAAUGAAGGCAAAAAUUAACUUUAGUUACUAAAAUAUUUACUAAAAAUGCCAUCUUUAUUUCAGUAAGUGCUGGUUCUAAGUGACUUCUGCCAAGGUACGUAUUUUCUUCUUCUUUUGAAGUUGACCCCCAUUGUGAAAAAUGUACAUUGUGGUGGGUGUGGAAAUGUGUCAUCUAGAUUUUCUAAGGGAGGCUUGUCCCCCCAGCACUAGGAGUGCUGUCAGUGAGCGGCUUUUGGUUGUCAGCUUCUGCAAAGAUUGCCUUGGCUAGUUUCCUUGCUCAAAGCCGCGCCUUCUGAAGGGGCCCAUAUCCAAUCACUGAUGCAGGUGAGUAGAAAGGCCUGGCCAUUUCAGCACACCAUGAGGGAUGGGCAUAGUUCCACAACUCCCUGAGGGGGUUACUAACACUGUCUUUGGGCCUGCAUUGCAGCUUAAUUUCUCCUGCUCAAUCCCAUUUCCUGUCCUUCCACAGGUGUUCAUCUGAGGGCACUCCUUAAUAAACACUCUAUAUCUUAAAA